GUGUCAGCCGCCGCGGUAAUACAGGGGGGGCAAGCGUUGUUCGGAAUUACUGGGCGUAAAGGGUCUGUAGGUGGCCAACUAAGUCAGACGUGAAAUCCCUCAGCUUAACUGGGGAACUGCGUCUGAUACUGGAUGGCUCGAGUGUGGGAGAGGAAUGCGGAAUUCCAGGUGUAGCGGUGAAAUGCGUAGAGAUCGGGAGGAACACCGGUGGCGAAGGCGGCGUUCUGGACUGUUUCUGACACUGAGAGACGAAAGCCAGGGGAGCAAACGGGAUUAGAUACCCCGGUAGUCC
This 292-nucleotide ribosomal RNA is filed under the name uncultured bacterium. Its description in RNAcentral is "partial 16S ribosomal RNA". It matches the Rfam family "Bacterial small subunit ribosomal RNA", at positions 505 to 796 of the family's 1533-position model. The record is from RNAcentral.